This is a non-coding RNA of Danio rerio (zebrafish), 1495 nucleotides long. The record is from RefSeq and is a predicted model, not a curated record. Lineage: Eukaryota; Metazoa; Chordata; Actinopteri; Cypriniformes; Danionidae.
GGACAUUAAAGACAACUAUAACAUGAUGAAGAAAAAUUACUUGGAACAAAGAGGCUGGACAAAAGGCAGCGUGACUGAAUGAAGAUUUAAAAUCACACAACGUCAUAAAGCAGCAGCUGGGCCUGAUUCUCACAAACCAGCAAAACCAAAACAGACGUGAUGAAAUUCCAGAUGUAAACACAUUUGACCUUCCUUUGUCCAAUUUUACUUGGAAAAGCUUAAAUCAACUAAAGGAGCAGCCCGAACAAAUGAAGAAACUGGUAGCCUACUUUGGAAUCAUUGGUGUUUUCCACCAAGCAGUUGGCCGUAUCCUGGAAAAGAUUUUGGUUAACUCCUUGGCUAAACAAAUUAACUGAAGCGGGCCAAAUUAAAAAGUGGCCUUUCGUGCACUCCCCCUUAGGACUGUCGUAGUCAGUAAGUUGGUUUUGAAUAUACAUUUUAAUACAAUUAGGGGCCGUUUCAUCUGUGCAUUUCUUUGAAUUAUUCACCAGAGGAAUUCCGAUUCCGGCGCGGAUGCGGCAGCGUCAGCUCGCUUACGGCCGCUGCAUCUGGCCCGAUUGGUUCGGGCAGUGAGUCCACAGCCAACGAGUGGUAAGUCUCCGGCAGGCCACAAUCUAGCCAGAACUGGCCCGAGUGUAUUUUGCCAUAUUGAUAACAUGUAUAAGUAUGGUAAUAAUCUGUAUAACUACCAUAAUAAGUUGUGUAAUUACAUAAAUAACUUGUAUAAAUAAAGUAAUAACAUGUAUAAUCACAGUAAUAACCUGUAAAACUACCAUAAUAAUGUGUGUAAUUACAUAAAUAACUUGUAUAAUUAAAGUAAUAACAUGUAUAUUUACAGAAAUAACCUGUAUAACUACCAUAAUAACUUGUAUAAUUACAUAAAUAACUCGUAUAAUUACAGUUAUAACAUGUAUAAUUAAGGUAAUAACCUGUAACUCUAAAACAGAAAACGACUGUUUUUUAACAGUUUAUCUACAUCUUUUAUUAAUACAGUUUUUUUUGUAUUUUAACGUUUUUUUUCUGGCGCCCCUGCUGCCAGAAAAAAAAACGUUUUUUUACAGGGAUUUUUUUUACAGUGCAGCUCACUUUUCUCCAAGAGUCCAACUGCUGCCCAGGUUGCUGAGAAAGUGUUGAUCAACCGUCUGCUACAGGCACUUCCUUGCCAAUAGUUGCCACUAGCCACAGCCAUGUCACCCUGCAGCCAAAGACCAUUAACUCACUGAAGCUAAGCUGGGCUGAGCCUGGUCAGUACCUGGAUGGGAGACCACUAGGGAACACUAGGUUGCUGUUGGAAGUGGUGUUAGUAAGGCCAGCAGGGGGCGCUCAACCUGAGGUCUGCAUGAGUCCUAAUGUCCUAGUAAAAGUGAAAGGGAUACUACAGUGUCAGUGGGCGCUGUCUUUUAGAUGAGCUGUUAAACCGAGGUCCUGACUCUCUGUGCUCAUUAAUAAUCCCAUGGCACUUCUCGUGAAAGAGCAGGGGUGUAACCCCGGUGUC